GUCCUCCUGCCAUUCGGAGCUCCCCUAUUGGUGAACGCGGAAGUUGGGCCAUGAGGUUCUGAAGUUCCUGCCCCUCCCCUCUCUCAAUGAAGAUUGAGCUUCACUCAGACUGCAGCUUCCUUCCUCUGUCCAACAUCUGGCCACCAGAAGCCUUCUCAGUACUCUACAAGUGACUUCACCAACAUCCUGUACACCUUCAACAUGAUGUCCCAACUCCUUUAUUCAAUGGUGUGAACAAUUAAGCUACCCGAUGAAGGAGCAGCGCACCGAAAGCUAGUGCUUCCAAAUAAAUCUGUUGGACUAUAA
Molecule: long non-coding RNA, 306 nt
Organism: Hemiscyllium ocellatum (epaulette shark)
Lineage: Eukaryota; Metazoa; Chordata; Chondrichthyes; Orectolobiformes; Hemiscylliidae
Exons: 3
Source: RefSeq, a predicted model, not a curated record